Pelobates cultripes (western spadefoot toad) is the source of this 668-nucleotide non-coding RNA. Lineage: Eukaryota; Metazoa; Chordata; Amphibia; Anura; Pelobatidae. The record is from the annotation of a GenBank genome assembly.
UAUAAUGUUAAUAUAUCCCCUCUGAGGUGCCGUUUUUCCAAACUAAAGAGAUUUAAAUGUUUAACCUAAAAUGCUCAAUUCCUUUUAUCAAUUUUGUAGCUCGUCUCUGCACUUUUUCUAGUGCCAUGAUAGCCUUCUUUAGAACAGGUGCCCAAAAAUGCACAGCAUAUUCAAAGUGUGGUCUUACCAGCGAUUAAUAAAGAGGCAAGAUUAUAUUUUCAUCCAGAGAAUGUAUGCCCAUAUUUAUACAUGACAAAACCUUACUGGCUUUAGCAACUGCAGAUUCACGUUGCAUAUUGCUGCCUAAUUUGUUGUCUAUAACAAUUCCCAAAUACUUAUCCUGUGUUAUUGCUAAUUCACUACCAUUUAGGGUGUAAGUUGCUUGUGCAUUCUUGACCCCGAAGAGCAUAACUUUGCAUUUCUCUACAUUAAAUUUGAUCUGCCAUUUUAGUGCCCAGUUCCCCAAUCUAUCUAAAUCCCUCUGCAGCAAAGCCAUAAUCCUGCUCACAUUUUAUUACUUUACAAAGUUUUGUGUCACCUGCAAACACUACAACAUCGCUUUCAAUGCCUAUUUCAAGAUCAUUUAUAAAUAUGUUAAAGAGAAGCGGUCCCAAAACAGAACCCCGAGGGACACCACUUACCACUUUUGUCAAGCUUGAAAAUUUACC